This 888-nucleotide long non-coding RNA is filed under the name Malus domestica (apple). RNAcentral describes it as "long non-coding RNA (MDOM_LNC003231)". The record is from RNAcentral. Lineage: Eukaryota; Viridiplantae; Streptophyta; Magnoliopsida; Rosales; Rosaceae.
GCAUCACUUCACGAGCUGAGGAAGCUGGGAAAGGGUCUUCGCUCUUGCAGAUCUAUAUCCCUCUGUUAGCUUGCUUCAUUUGGUUAGUGGAAUCAGGCCUAAGCUUGAGAGGCUGCAUAAACAAGCCGACAGAAUAAUAGAAAACAUCAUCAACGAACAUCAGAAAGAUCUUGAAACUACAAAAAAUGUUGAGGGCGAGAAAGUGGAAGAUCUUGUACAUGUUCUCCUAAAAUUUCACGAACAUGGCGGUGCGCUUGAAUUUUCACUUACUACUAACAACAUCAAAGCAGUAAUCUUUGUGAGUACACUUUCUGUUCAUAUCAAUGAUAUCAUGCUUUAAUAAGUCAAAUCAGUUUUCGAUUUCAGUUUUAUUACCCCAGUUCUUGUUUCUGAAUAUACGAUCUCAGAAUAAUAUGAAUUCUUGUUUCUGGUUAAUUAUUAGUCUUUCUGAAUUCUAAUUCUACAUGAACCUUUUUCAGGAUAUUUUCUCGGCUGGGAGUGAGACAUCAGCUACAACUGUAGAUUGGGCAAUUUCAGAAAUGAUGAAAAAUCCAAGAGUAAUGAAAAAGGCACAGCGUGAGGUGAGGGAAGUGUUUAAUCGAAAAGGGAAGGCAGAUGAAACAAGCAUCAGAGAGAUGAAGUAUUUAAACGCAGUGAUUAAAGAGACGCUGAGAUUACACCCUUCUGUUCCCCUAUUACUUCCAAGAGAAUGCGGAGAGAAGUGCGAGAUUGGUGGAUAUGAUAUACCUGUGAAAUCCAAGGUAAUCGUCAAUGCGUGGGCUAUCGGUAGAGAUCCCAAGUACUGGACUGAGCCUGAGAGGUUUAAACCAGGGAGGUUCCAUUGCAGCUCCAUUGAUUACAAGGGAACAAACUUCGAAUACAUCCCGU